GGCGGCGCGCGGCGGGAAACGGGCGGCGCGCGGCCGCUGAGGGCUGAGGCGGGCCCGCCCUGAGGGGAGAAGCGGCGGGACGGGAGCGGGACCGGGAACGGGAACGGAACCAUCGCCAGAGAUGACAAGAUGGACAACGGGGAGAAAGAAGUGUCUGUCAUUCAGUGAGGACAGCAAAGGAUCCUGAAAGCUGAACAGUGUUUCCAUUGUUUCAACACAAGCUCCGCUUCUCUACUGAAAGAUCCAAAUGACAAGGACACUGAGGGUUUCUUUCUCUUUGCUGUUUGUUUCCCUAGUAACAAAUACACAAGCUGCACUGUUAGAUACCAUCCUUUCAUGCUUUUCUUUUUUUUUUUUUUUUUUUUUUUUUUGAAGAUAAAGACAUGUCAAGGAUGCAGUCAGUGGUAGCAGGUUAAGGUUGCUUGUAUGAAUGCACCUCCAAUACGGUGUGAUGUACUUCAGGGCACUGCAUGUAGUCAGUGGCUGAGAUAGUGAAAUAACUUUAAAAGCGUGGAAGAAAUUAUGGAAGUAGUGAUGCAUCUCAAUGUUUGCAUCACUACUUCCUUUGCUUCUUUAGGAUAAGUUAAGUCUCAAAAGUUUGGAGACUUUAACCAAACUUUAAAAAUCAUUUGGUCUUAGAAUUUCAAACUCUAGAUUGUCUUGUGUUAGCUGAAAGAAAACCACUAAAAGAAUGAAACAUUAUUUUUUAAAAAAUAUUUUAAUUACUUUCCUAUGUGUUUGCUAUAAAUGCAAGCUUAGUAAUGGAAAACAAAAAAUCUGAUCUUGUGUUCUCAAUUACUCACGUUUGUAACGUGUUCUCCAAAGUUUUCCAAGGAAAAGAAAAAUGCAUCUUUUUUAUUGGGACAUGGCAGCAACUGGUCUAAAUGCUGUAAUGUAGAAAUAGCUGACAAAAUUAAUACCAAAGUUCUGAUUAUAUAAUAUGAAAAUACAACAUUAUGCAUUAAUUGUAAGCCAGCUUGUUGUUAGGACAUAAGUUACACUGGUAUUUGUCACAGUGUAUUUUAGUUACUUGUCUGGAACUGCCUUGUAGGGAGGUAUUUCAGGUGAACAAAUAAAUUCCUUUCAUUUGGGGUGCUUUCUGAAAUCAGUACAUCUAUUAAAUUGUACCAAUUAUGCCAACAUAAAACCUGCAAACCCCGAAAAGAUGCAGAGAAGCUGCAUCUCCAGUGGAUCAGGGAAUACAAAGGAUGUGAUCAGCUGUCCUGAAACACUUUGAUGUCUCAAGCUUUCAUCAAGUGGAGAAUAGGAAAAGGAUUUGUUUGGGGGCUAUGAAUCAAACAAAUCUGUAUCAUGAUUUUUAUGUGAUGUAGACAUCUGCUCAUAUACAUAUAAAUGGAUGUGAUGUGGAAAAAAGUCAGAAUCACCCAGAGCUCCAGAUACCUAAUUUAGGAGAAUGUAUGUUUCCUCUGUCAGUGGGCUGAAAUACACACCACUGGAGGGCAAUUUGUCAUCUGCAAAAUCUGAAUUGCUCUGUUAAUGCCCAUAAUUACUAUGGAAGAUCUACUUUAUCUCUUGUGUGACUUUUGAAAUACCAAAACCAGAUGUUAAUUAAACUUUCCUAACAUUCAGACUGACAGGUAUACAAGUGUCCUACCUAGAGCAGAGAGGUUCAUCAGGGAAUUAGCCAGUACACAUGCCCUUGAAGCAUCAGCAUGCUUUAGUUGCUAGGUUAAAUUUUAUUAUCUUUUCCCCCUGAAUUCGUUUUUUAAAAUCACUUAGUAUCAGCUUUCAGUAGAAUAUCUACAUGAUAACAGUAAGUUUAGUUUUGUUUUAUACUUCUUUUAGUCUUUAAACAAAAAUAUAAGGCCCACAAAAGAAUCAUCAUGCUAUAAGCACAGUAAUGAAAAUGGUGAUUGUGAGAACAAGUGACAUCUGUAUUUAUUGUUGAAAUGUGCUUUUUGUACUAACCAAGCUGUGGAGAGAUGUCCUCAAAAGCAGAGGCAGCUUCAGGGACUGUGGCCAGUCUGUGUAAGUGGGGAAACCUGGUUGUGUCACCAUUUCCUUACGGCUUUGGUUGUUUGCUUUGUGAAAGUCUGUCAAGAGACUCAAGAGCAGAACAGACAAUUGCAGUGUGGAAAUACCUGUGUGUAUCUCUAAAACUUACAACAAUGUUUUUCUAAUGAGAGAAUUUGUAAUUAUUUCAUUUUGUUUGUAUCUGGCACAACCAAUUACAACCUCUGGAACAGCAGGAUUCACAGGUCCUGUCUGUUAGUUCUGUAACUUCUCGCUCCUCUUUGAAAAAGAAGCAGUAGCUCUUUGAAGCAAUCUCAAGCUCCUUUGCAAGGGGUGAUGUCUAGAUCAUCUCCAGAGACUGAACAGACAGAACUGUUCUAGCCCCUCCCUGACAGUGGCUGUGAUUCUGAAUGCAGAGAGGACUGGAGGCUGUGCCUCCAGCAUGAAACAUUGGGAUUGUAGACAAGGAGCAGACUGCACUUUACCAGGAGGCUGGAAACAUCAUCAUCAGUUUUCCAGCUGUUCACUCCUGGUAAGUAAAUUACACAGUACAGUGGAAUAUUUAGCAUGCAAACAGGAGUGGCAACACAGUAAACCAGCACAACAACACAUAGAAACUAAUUGCACUUGAUGAAUAGUAUAGCAUUUAAAUCACAAAAUCAGAUGCUAGUAGGGAUUUUCUGUACUUAGCAGAAGAGAAAGCAGAAGAUACCUUUUUCUGAGGGAAAAGGAAAGGUAGUAGAAUAAAGAGAACUACAUAAGCGUUUCAAUGUAUACAUACAUGUUAAAAACUCCAUCCUAAUGUAGGAUUGUCAUAUAUUUCAUGCAGCUAUCAACUCCCUGGCUGACUCUUGGCCAGCUGUUGCUUAUCUGGGAAGUUUAAUUUGUGUUUUGUGUGCCAUAGAAAAGCAGAGAUUAAAUUUCUGUUGAUAUGUGUUUUGUAGAAACACAUUCUGCAUAUGCUUGCCUAUAUAUGCAAAACAGUUGGCUAGAGGCAGGGAUUCAAGCUUUUUCUGUAUUGGGAUUGUUCAGUUUCCUUUUUUUUUUUUUUUUUUUUUUUUUCCUUUAUUCUAAGAGAUGUAUUUCUUAUCUUAAAAUCCAGACUUAUAUUUCCAUCUUCAUUUUCUAUCCUGCCCAGAUUAGGGCAUCCAGCACAAGCAUAUUCUAUCAUUUCACAGAUAAAUAGAGCCAGAGGAUUAUUGUAAACAUGUGGUACAGCUCACCGUGGGACAGAAGCCAUGUGACUGGUGAUAUUACUUGUCAUUUAAACCAGAACAACCCUUAGGGAAACAUGCCUUAGAACAUCCUGUCUACACAAAUUGUUAAUUCCUUGUUCCAGUCAUUAAUUACUCUCAUAAUUUCUCCCAUUAAUGUAUUUAAUUUUACCUUUCAGCUGUUGUUUCCUCUGUCUCUGUAAGAUGGAGGAGACCAUAGGACUCACUACAGACACGAGAGCAUCCUUUUAAGUAACAGCAUUUGAUAAAACACAUUUUUCAAUUUCUAAGUUGUUUCUAUAUCUCUUCUCAGAUCCAUUCCAAGGUAUCAAAUGAUUUCUUGAGCUGUGGAUUCCCGCAGUGGAUUCAAGCAUGGGACUGUCCUUCUCCUGUUCAGCCAGUCAGAUGAUCGUAUCUAUCUGUGCAAUUAAUUGCCAGUUCAACUGAUUCUUUAUUGGGAUCCCCAAAGACAUUUCAGAAUUGCUGUUCCCACUUCAAAAACAGGAAUAUCUUAUUAUAGGGGCAAGCAAACCCAAAGUUAGUUAAUUGAUGGUAAAAAUACUUUCAACUUGUUAGUGUUUUCUUAUGAAUCAGGCUAGACAUACUAUACAAAUUAAAAGCUUGGCCAUAUUCAGAAUGCAUCUGCUAUCAGGAAUGACCAGCAGGUUACCUAGGGAUUUUCACAGAAGGCGAGUUUAAUUUUGUUUCAGAGGUGAAUUACAGAUUUCCAUAGCAAAGCAAUACUCUAGGAAAAAUUAAAUUGGAACCAGUUUUGAUUAGGAUUGACUUGCUGUGGUAGCCAGCCUAUUAUACACAGGGCAAAAUGCAACAGGGCAUCAAAUUAUUCUCUGGAAUUAUAUGAAGACAGAUACUAAAGAGCUGAUUCUUUUUGCAAUAUUGAGAUGAAUUUACAAAGUAAAGAGUAAUGUUGGUCAUGGAAAUUUUCUGAGAAGGACACAAAUAAAAGCUUUUAUUGUGAUUAAUAUGAGUCUAGCAUAACUUUGAAACUGAAGGAGACUGAAAAGAAGAACAGUAAUAACAAGAAAAAACAGAUGUUCUGUGACUAUCAGAGCACAGGUUUAUACACUGUAACCUGACACUUGACACAUAUCUUUUUAGUAACUUAUCUAAAAAGUGUCUACAAAGAUUGCUGGAAGGAGAACAUACAAAGCAACCCCUGUCUUCCUGCUCUUCACACUGGGAUUUUUAAAUUCACUGUGGCAACUGCUAGAGCUGCCUCUGCUGAUUUAUUACUUGUAUUGAUACACCUGAUUCUGUAAGAUUAACUCAAAGGCCUUAUUUGCCACCCUGUAAUUUCCCCCUCUUCUUCAUCUUUCCUUCCUUUUUUCCCUUAUGUCAUUUAAUUCUGUAAACCCCCGGAGAAUGCAGGGAUUUAUAGGAAAGACUAGUUUUAUUUAGACUCAAGAAAAAGCAUCACUGAUGUUUAUGUUUGGUAACCAACUUACCUGUACAUUUCAUUUGUAGGUUGGAACAGGCUAUAUGUGAUUUCUGUACCCUAAAUACUAGAUAUUUCUGAUUUUUGUUUUCUCCAAUGGAUUUUUAUUUUCUCCAAGGCUAUCUCAGUAACUGAGAAGUGAACAGUCCUAUUAAAACUGCUGAAGGAUUUAGAGAAAAAGCAGCCUAACACUUUGUCCCACUGGGAAGGUGUGCCUGGUACUGUACUGGCUCCAUCUUGUGGCUGAAUCUUUAUAACCAGCUGACCCUUCUUGCCAUCAUUCUUAUAUAAAUAUUGAUAAAUAAGUGUGUGAGCUUCCUUUAUAACUUUUAGGACAAAUGGGUCAAAUUUUUCUGGUAAUAGAGAAAUAGGGAGGCAGGUUGAAGACAAGAUUGGCCCAAGCAAGCAUUGCCCAGUUCCCUGUGUAGCAAUGUCAAUCACAGUGUUUGGUUACAUUCUCCUGCUUACUGUCAGAGGAGCCUCAGCUAGGCAGAGGGAGAACAAGCAAAUGCCAGCACUUUUUUAUUCCAACCUGCACUAAUGUGCUGUUCAUUAUUAACUUGCUGUGGCCAGUAAAGCAAUUCACCAUUUACCUUCAAGAGUGGCCUAGAGUUCCUACCAAAACAUAAAUACAGAUCAGUGUAGUUUAUUUUGGCAGCAUUCUUUUUUUCUAAAACAAAUAUUUUUUCAAGUGGUUGUCAUUAAACAAAAUGCUAGCAUUUGAACGGAAGGAAACAGCAGAUACCUUUCAAUUAACCUUUUCCUGCCAUCCCUGAACUGUGUUCAGUAAUUGCCUCCAUUUGACUGCUCAACCAUGAACUGAGCAUAGGAAAGGACAAAACACACAGCAGAAAUUACAGAAGGCUGCCAACACCCCUGCUCACUGACCACAUGGCUCAGCUAGUGCCUGCUUCAUUUCCCAGUUAUAUAAGUAAGUUCAUGUUUUGGUGUAUAGCACAAAUAGGUGUUUUCUUCAGACUGCAGAAAAGUAAAUAAACUUUUAGCACCUUCAGUGUUGGCAGCAGGAAGGCAGUGAGCUGCCAGGACAUGCUGGGUGUUCUGUUCUGUUGUGUAUCAGCUUGUGUGUUACAGGAUAGAGCUUCUAACAGGCACGGUAGAAAUGGCACUCAUCUCUAAAGAUAUUGCCACAGUUGCAAGAUUGCAAAUAUCAAGAGAAUACAAAUUAUGAUUGUAGAAACUGGUAGAGGGUUGGUUACUGGGUAUGAGGUAUCAGAUAUAAGAUUGGCUGCACCCUUAUCAUGGCAGUGUUAAUAUGAAAGACAUGUCCCCUGAUCCAUAUGACAUGAAAACAAAGAAAAUGCCUGUUUCCAAGGAGUCACAAGCCACAGUAGAAUAUGCAUGGCAAGAAAAGUCCCUCUUGCUAUGUCAUACAGAGCAUCCAUGACAUCCAGGCUUGAGUGACAAAGCAGCUUUACCUUGUGAUGUACUGCCAAUCUGAAAAACAUUCUAUAUCUAAAGUUCCAUUUUGUAUCCCCUGCAGACAUGCUCAGAAAUCUAAAAAUAAGUACAGAUUUACAAGACUGCCACAGUGAGUUAAUAGUGUCAAAGUCUCACACUCUCUGCUGCCCAUCAUACCCGUUGCAUACAGCAAAUCCACUCAGAGCUUCACUACAGUUUCAUAUUAAGGUUUCCUUGCUAGAUUUUGUAUCAAGAAAAAAUCUUUGCUUUAAGUUUGUCACUUAGUCAGGAUGCACUGUGCACACAGUGCAUACCUACUGUGCUGUGCCAUACAGCUGCUGAAUGCUCUCUCUGUUCUGCCCUGGUACUGACACGUCUGGCAGAAUGUUUGCUGAGGGACUGCUGCAGCUUGUGGCCCAGGGCAGCAGUGCAGGAGAGGAAUGGGGUGGCCAGGCUGAUACAACCACAGCAUGAUCAGUGCUUGAAAUGGCUGGAACAAGGGUGGGAGGGAGCCAUAAAAGACUCUCUUACCUCUGCUCGAGACAGCAGCAUCCAGCACUACACAUAAAAUGUGUGUCAUAGAAUGUAAUAACAAUUACUUAAAGGCAGAGGUAAUGCUACUGCUUUGUGUUCUGCAGUGUGCCAGGCUAGAAGGCUGUUGUCUGGUAACAGAGGGGUGAAAUGCAAAUACUGCAACGCCACCUCAGCUGGUAUCUAAGCUCUACAGAGGCCAGCACUCAGGUGGAUCUUACCCACACCAGCUGGGGGUUACAGUCUUCAACAUCCUUCUCUGCAUCCAUAUAUUCCAGAAAAGUAGUGCCAAUGUUAGUAUCCCACGCAAAGAAACUGUCACAGGUGCCUUUGUCCUGUGCUUUUCUGAAACCCAUUUUGCAUCCUAGGUUUGUUUUUUGCCUUCCCCAGUAUCCUUGAGAAGACCCGUUCUGCCAGAAAUAGCCACAUUUCAGUGCCUUUCUGGGGUAUCUCAAACUUUUAGGUUCUAAAAAAAAGUCACCUGAGACCUCUGGAUGGCUCAGGGGGCACAGGACAUAACCAAACCAGCUGCUCUGGCAGGAGCACACAAGCACAAGUCAACAUAACUCACAUUUGAUCAGGAAACGGAUACUUGCUCUUGUGUGAGCUGAAGAAUUACAGAGCAGAGCAGACAGCAUCAUCUGUGUGAGCAGGGUGCAAAGCAGGGCAUGGAGGCUGACAGAAAAGCUAUUGGAACCAGCAAAAUCCCCUGAGCAUCAGUACAGAAAUUUCCUGUAUUUUUGCUGCUGCUACAAACAAGAUUCUUCAACCCUUUGGAUAUUGUUACAAGAGAGAAAUGUGUCAUCUUAGCUGGGGGUAUAAAACACACCCGCAGGCUGGGGAAGUUAGUUUUUCAUGUUACAAGCUGUAAUACUGUUCUCUCAGUCCUCUAUCUUGAAUUGCUCUUUUGAUACUUCUGCCAGUAUGUAUGGAAUGGGUGGAUGGGAACAGAGAUGAGAAGAACAUAUUGUACAAAGUUUGACAAUCAUAACUAGCAUAAUCAUAAUCAUUAAUAUUCAUAUUAAGUUCCGAAUGCCUCACCUUGCUUCUGUGCUUCAUUCCCUAGCACGGUGGUGUGCUUUUUUUGUAGGUGGUUGGAAUUGCUUGGACCCACACCAGAAAUGGGGAAAAAAAUGGAAUAAUGAUCAAAUCAGACCCAAGCAAAAAAAUUGUCUUUAAGUCCACAUUUCUACUGCCUUGACCAGUCAUAGUGUACACCCACUGUGAGACUCAGACUGCUUUAAAAUAAUACAACUAAACAACCAAACCCAAAACAAAAAGAACCCCCAAACCUACCACAUCAAAAUAGAAAUUAUUAAUUUACAGUUUCAGAGAUAUGUUUGUGUUGUGCCCUGUCACUAGGUUAGCCUUUGACAAACACUGGAGCUCUAAAUCUAGAAGACUUAUAUGAUAUUUUUCUAGACAGUCUGGAUAUUAUUAUAAAUUCUGCUGUUGAACGGUCGCGGUUGACUGCCAGCAGGGUUUUUAUUCGCAUAACGCAGUUCAUGGCAGCUGUCCCCCAGCAGAUGGCACGAGAAGAGCCGGGACCAUCCCGACAGCUCUGCAGGACCGGGCUGGGCGGGAGCGCUUUGCAGCAGGAGCUCCGAGCUACGGUUACGCUUUCUUCCUUCAAAGCUUUUAUUUGCAUUUUGACGGAGGCAAAGGUUCUACUACGAGGCUGAAUAAAAAGUGUCAUUACAUCAUUUCUAGGGUUGGUUUUGUCUCUCUUAUUUUUGCUUUCUGGAGAUUAGAUCAGCAUUGCUAAAACAUUUGACCCACAGACAAAAUGAAUAGCAAACAUUACACAAAAUUUGGUUUUAUUUGUAGAAAGUAUGUGUAAAAUCCAAUAUCUGAAACGUGCAAGGUGGUACGAGAUUGAAAGCUGAGCCCAGGAGCAGGAACAGCACAAACUGUGGCGGUGCCAGGAAGGGCAGCCUGUGCAGCAAGGAGGGGCUCAGCCUUUGCGUGUCUGCAGCAGCUGUAGCUCUGUAAAAACGGGGAUCAUCCUGCACUGCCCAUGUCUUCCAGUCAAAACAGAAAAAAGGAUGUGAGGUGUAGCCCCCUUUAUACCCUACACCAACGAGACUGAAGUAGGGGUGAAAGUGAUUAAAGGAUAAAUUCCAUGCC
This is a non-coding RNA of Taeniopygia guttata (zebra finch), 8721 nucleotides long. The record is from RefSeq and is a predicted model, not a curated record. Lineage: Eukaryota; Metazoa; Chordata; Aves; Passeriformes; Estrildidae.